CCGAGUGUCCGUAAAUGCGGACUGUCCGUAUGUCUAAAAAGCAUGCGAAGAAAGGGCCGGGCAAGACCGGUGCCAGCCGCCGCGGUAAUACCGGCGGCUCGAGUGGUGGCCACUAUUAUUGGGCUUAAAGCGUUCGUAGCUGGAUCGUUAAGUCUCUUGGGAAAUCUACCGGCUUAACCGAUAGGCGUCCAAGGGAUACUGGCGAUCUAGGGACCGGGAGAGGUGAGGGGUACUUCAGGGGUAGGAGUGAAAUCCUGUAAUCCUUGGGGGACCACCUGUGGCGAAGGCGCCUCACCAGAACGGCUCCGACAGUGAGGGACGAAAGCUGGGGGAGCAAACCGGAUUAGAUACCCGGGUAGUCCCAGCCGUAAACGAUGCGCGUUAGGUGUAUCGAUGACCACGAGUCAUCGAGGUGCCGAAGGGAAACCGUGAAACGCGCCGCCUGGGAAGUACGGUCGCAAGGCUGAAACUUAAAGGAAUUGGCGGGGGAGCACCACAACAGGUGGAGCCUGCGGUUUAAUCGGACUCAACGCCGGAAAUCUCACCGGAUAAGACAGCUGAAUGAUAGUCGGGCUGAAGACUCUACUUGACUAGCUGAGAGGAGGUGCAUGGCCGUCGUCAGUUCGUACUGUGAAGCAUCCUGUUAAGUCAGGCAACGAGCGAGACCCACGUCAACAGUUGCCAGCAUGUCCUCCGGGAUGGUGGGGACACUGUUGGGACCGCCUCUGCUAAAGAGGAGGAAGGAAUGGGCAACGGUAGGUCAGCAUGCCCCGAAUUAUCCGGGCUACACGCGGGCUACAAUGGGCAGGACAAUGGGCUCCGACACCGAAAGGUGAAGGCAAUCUCUUAAACCUGUUCGUAGUUCGGAUUGCGGGUUGCAACUCGCCCGCAUGAAGCUGGAAUCUGUAGUAAUCGCGUCUCAAAAUGGCGCGGUGAAUAUGUCCCUG
Molecule: ribosomal RNA, 947 nt
Filed under: uncultured euryarchaeote
Lineage: Archaea; Methanobacteriati; Methanobacteriota
Description: bacterial SSU rRNA
Rfam family: Archaeal small subunit ribosomal RNA
Source: RNAcentral